Molecule: ribosomal RNA, 468 nt
Filed under: uncultured bacterium
Lineage: Bacteria
Description: partial 16S ribosomal RNA
Rfam family: Bacterial small subunit ribosomal RNA
Source: RNAcentral
GACGAACGCUGGCGGCGUGCUUAACACAUGCAAGUCGAACGGAAAGGCCCUGCUUUUGUGGGGUGCUCGAGUGGCGAACGGGUGAGUAACACGUGAGUAACCUGCCCUUGACUUUGGGAUAACUUCAGGAAACUGGGGCUAAUACCGGAUAGGAGCUCCUGCUGCAUGGUGGGGGUUGGAAAGUUUCGGCGGUUGGGGAUGGACUCGCGGCUUAUCAGCUUGUUGGUGGGGUAGUGGCUUACCAAGGGUUUGACGGGUAGCCGGCCUGGGAGGGUGAACGGCCACAAUGGGACUGAGGUACGGACCAGACUCCUACGGGAGGCAGCAGUGGGGAAUAUUGCACAAUGGGCGGAAGCCUGAUGCAGCAACGCCGCGUGCGGGAUGACGGCCUUCGGGUUGUAAACCGCUUUCGCCUGUGACGAAGCGUGAGUGACGGUAAUGGGUAAAGAAGCACCGGCUAACUACGUG